AUUUGAGGUAUGUUCAAUGUCAAAUCAACUAUGGAAUUACACAGAUCCCACGUUUAUGUAGUACAUGCGGACAAAUAUUUGAUUGGCCAGCUUCCUCACUAUUUGAGGAGGGUACCUUCAGCCAUCAAGACUAUCUCGGAUGACAACACCGACAUUCAGGCAACAACACUUGCCUUUUAGCGCAAUUCCAUCUUAGAAGAAGUUGUGCGGCAAGUAGAACAAACUAGGAAAAGGGUUUCCUGUGAAGAUUAUGUUCUUCCUGAUAGGAUUUUAUUUUGCCAUGGCGCUUGCUUUUGUCGCCGGACAAACAGGUCACUGGGACAUACUGUGCUUUUCAUUCUACACCAAAAGAUGGUGUAUAAAAGUGAUGUUGUUUACAUAUUAAUGAUGUACAGUGUGCAAUAGAUAUAACCACAUGUAGCUCGAGGUUGUGGUCUUAUGUUCUCAAUGAGUGCUACCAUGUAAAGAAUAAUUUGCAGAUAUGUUAUAUGUAUAUCUUUUACUCCCU
Molecule: long non-coding RNA, 508 nt
Organism: Lolium rigidum
Lineage: Eukaryota; Viridiplantae; Streptophyta; Magnoliopsida; Poales; Poaceae
Exons: 2
Source: RefSeq, a predicted model, not a curated record